GACGAACGCUGGCGGCGCGCUUAACACAUGCAAGUCGAGCGAGAACCAGGGCUUCGGCCCUGGGGACAGCGGCGAACGGGUGAGUAACACGUGGGUAAUCCACCCUCGGCACCGGAAUAGCCCGGGGAAACCCGGAUUAAUGCCGGAUGGCCCGCCGGCCCUGCGGGGCUGGCGGAAAAGGUAGCUUCGGCCUCCGGCCGAGGACGAGCCCGCGACGGAUUAGCUUGUUGGUGGGGUAACGGCCUACCAAGGCUGCGAUCCGUAGCUGGUCUGAGGGGACGAUCAGCAACACUGGGACUGAGACACGGCCCAGACUCCUACGGGAGGCAGCAGUGGGGAAUCUUGCGCAAUGGGCGAAAGCCUGACGCAGCGACGCCGCGUGAGGGAAGAAGGCCUUCGGGUUGUAAACCUCUUUCAGGAGGGACGAAGCCACUCGGGUUAAUAGCCCAGAGGGUGACGGUACCUCCAGAAGAAGCCCCGGCUAACUACGUGCCAGCAGCCGCGGUAA
This 508-nucleotide ribosomal RNA is filed under the name uncultured bacterium. RNAcentral's name for it is "partial 16S ribosomal RNA". It matches the Rfam family "Bacterial small subunit ribosomal RNA", at positions 28 to 523 of the family's 1533-position model. The record is from RNAcentral.